CUCUCUCUCCAGCUAUUCUCCAUGCCCCAGGAGCAAGAAACCCUAGGGUUUCUUGCCGCCAGGUCCAUAGAAGGCAGGAAAAGUAGGGGAGGCGCUAGGGUUUUGAGCCCCUCCCCCUUUGUGCUACCAACCAUAUUGCCUCUCCCUCUCUUACAUCCACCCAAACAUCAAGUCCAGGACUUGAAAUCUCUUGCUAUAAGAUUGGUACAAGUUUCUCUUAGAUCUGGAGUUGAUCUGAGGUCGUUUGAGGCACGGGUGAGAUCUCCAUCAACAGAUCUAUAGGAAAGGCUGCAGCAGGACAGAUCUGCAAGGUCUGGUUCUAUCUACC
This 328-nucleotide long non-coding RNA is filed under the name Elaeis guineensis (African oil palm). RNAcentral describes it as "long non-coding RNA (EGUI_LNC080906)". Lineage: Eukaryota; Viridiplantae; Streptophyta; Magnoliopsida; Arecales; Arecaceae. The record is from RNAcentral.